Molecule: ribosomal RNA, 495 nt
Filed under: uncultured bacterium
Lineage: Bacteria
Description: partial 16S ribosomal RNA
Rfam family: Bacterial small subunit ribosomal RNA
Source: RNAcentral
GACGAACGCUGGCGGCGUGCCUAAUACAUGCAAGUAGAACGCUGAAGGAGGAGCUUGCUCUUCUGGAUGAGUUGCGAACGGGUGAGUAACGCGUAGGUAACCUGCCUGGUAGCGGGGGAUAACUAUUGGAAACGAUAGCUAAUACCGCAUAAGAGUAGAUGUUGCAUGACAUUUACUUAAAAGGUGCAAUUGCAUCACUACCAGAUGGACCUGCGUUGUAUUAGCUAGUUGGUGGGGUAACGGCUUACCAAGGCCACGAUACAUAGCCGACCUGAGAGGGUGAUCGGCCACACUGGGACUGAGACACGGCCCAGACUCCUACGGGAGGCAGCAGUAGGGAAUCUUCGGCAAUGGACGGAAGUCUGACCGAGCAACGCCGCGUGAGUGAAGAAGGUUUUCGGAUCGUAAAGCUCUGUUGUAAGAGAAGAACGAGUGUGAGAGUGGAAAGUUCACACUGUGACGGUAUCUUACCAGAAAGGGACGGCUAACUACGUG